RNAcentral lists this ribosomal RNA (2817 nucleotides) under Enterobacter cloacae. Its description in RNAcentral is "partial 23S ribosomal RNA". It matches the Rfam family "Bacterial large subunit ribosomal RNA". Lineage: Bacteria; Pseudomonadati; Pseudomonadota; Gammaproteobacteria; Enterobacterales; Enterobacteriaceae. The record is from RNAcentral.
GGUUAAGCGACUAAGCGUACACGGUGGAUGCCCUGGCAGUCAGAGGCGAUGAAGGACGUGCUAAUCUGCGAAAAGCGCCGGCGAGGUGAUAUGAACCCUUGACCCGGCGAUGUCCGAAUGGGGAAACCCAGUGCAAUCCGUUGCACUAUCGUUAACUGAAUACAUAGGUUAACGAGGCGAACCGGGGGAACUGAAACAUCUAAGUACCCCGAGGAAAAGAAAUCAACCGAGAUUCCCCCAGUAGCGGCGAGCGAACGGGGAGCAGCCCAGAGUCUGAAUCAGCUUGUGUGUUAGUGGAAGCGUCUGGAAAGUCGCACGGUACAGGGUGAAAGUCCCGUACACGAAAAUGCACAGGCUGUGAACUCGAAGAGUAGGGCGGGACACGUGGUAUCCUGUCUGAAUAUGGGGGGACCAUCCUCCAAGGCUAAAUACUCCUGACUGACCGAUAGUGAACCAGUACCGUGAGGGAAAGGCGAAAAGAACCCCGGCGAGGGGAGUGAAAAAGAACCUGAAACCGUGUACGUACAAGCAGUGGGAGCACCUUCGGGUGUGACUGCGUACCUUUUGUAUAAUGGGUCAGCGACUUAUAUUCUGUAGCAAGGUUAACCGUAUAGGGGAGCCGAAGGGAAACCGAGUCUUAACUGGGCGUUAAGUUGCAGGGUAUAGACCCGAAACCCGGUGAUCUAGCCAUGGGCAGGUUGAAGGUUGGGUAACACUAACUGGAGGACCGAACCGACUAAUGUUGAAAAAUUAGCGGAUGACCUGUGGCUGGGGGUGAAAGGCCAAUCAAACCGGGAGAUAGCUGGUUCUCCCCGAAAGCUAUUUAGGUAGCGCCUCGUGAACUCAUCUUCGGGGGUAGAGCACUGUUUCGGCUAGGGGGCCAUCCCGGCUUACCAACCCGAUGCAAACUACGAAUACCGAAGAAUGUUAUCACGGGAGACACACGGCGGGUGCUAACGUCCGUCGUGAAGAGGGAAACAACCCAGACCGCCAGCUAAGGUCCCAAAGUCAUGGUUAAGUGGGAAACGAUGUGGGAAGGCCCAGACAGCCAGGAUGUUGGCUUAGAAGCAGCCAUCAUUUAAAGAAAGCGUAAUAGCUCACUGGUCGAGUCGGCCUGCGCGGAAGAUGUAACGGGGCUAAACCAUGCACCGAAGCUGCGGCAGCGACACUAUGUGUUGUUGGGUAGGGGAGCGUUCUGUAAGCCGUUGAAGGUGGCCUGUGAGGGCUGCUGGAGGUAUCAGAAGUGCGAAUGCUGACAUAAGUAACGAUAAAGCGGGUGAAAAGCCCGCUCGCCGGAAGACCAAGGGUUCCUGUCCAACGUUAAUCGGGGCAGGGUGAGUCGACCCCUAAGGCGAGGCCGAAAGGCGUAGUCGAUGGGAAACAGGUUAAUAUUCCUGUACUUGGUGUUACUGCGAAGGGGGGACGGAGAAGGCUAUGUUAGCCGGGCGACGGUUGUCCCGGUUUAAGCAUGUAGGCGGAGGUUCCAGGUAAAUCCGGUACCUUUUAACGCUGAGGUGUGAUGACGAGGCACUACGGUGCUGAAGUAACAAAUGCCCUGCUUCCAGGAAAAGCCUCUAAGCAUCAGGUAACACGAAAUCGUACCCCAAACCGACACAGGUGGUCAGGUAGAGAAUACCAAGGCGCUUGAGAGAACUCGGGUGAAGGAACUAGGCAAAAUGGUGCCGUAACUUCGGGAGAAGGCACGCUGAUAUGUAGGUGAAGCCCCUGCGGGUGGAGCUGAAAUCAGUCGAAGAUACCAGCUGGCUGCAACUGUUUAUUAAAAACACAGCACUGUGCAAACACGAAAGUGGACGUAUACGGUGUGACGCCUGCCCGGUGCCGGAAGGUUAAUUGAUGGGGUUAGCGGUAACGCGAAGCUCUUGAUCGAAGCCCCGGUAAACGGCGGCCGUAACUAUAACGGUCCUAAGGUAGCGAAAUUCCUUGUCGGGUAAGUUCCGACCUGCACGAAUGGCGUAAUGAUGGCCAGGCUGUCUCCACCCGAGACUCAGUGAAAUUGAACUCGCUGUGAAGAUGCAGUGUACCCGCGGCAAGACGGAAAGACCCCGUGAACCUUUACUAUAGCUUGACACUGAACACUGGUCCUUGAUGUGUAGGAUAGGUGGGAGGCUUUGAAGCGUGGACGCCAGUCUGCGUGGAGCCGUCCUUGAAAUACCACCCUUUAAUGGCUGGUGUUCUAACGUAGACCCGUAAUCCGGGUUGCGGACAGUGUCUGGUGGGUAGUUUGACUGGGGCGGUCUCCUCCCAAAGAGUAACGGAGGAGCACGAAGGUUAGCUAAUCCUGGUCGGACAUCAGGAGGUUAGUGCAAUGGCAUAAGCUAGCUUGACUGCGAGAGUGACGGCUCGAGCAGGUGCGAAAGCAGGUCAUAGUGAUCCGGUGGUUCUGAAUGGAAGGGCCAUCGCUCAACGGAUAAAAGGUACUCCGGGGAUAACAGGCUGAUACCGCCCAAGAGUUCAUAUCGACGGCGGUGUUUGGCACCUCGAUGUCGGCUCAUCACAUCCUGGGGCUGAAGUAGGUCCCAAGGGUAUGGCUGUUCGCCAUUUAAAGUGGUACGCGAGCUGGGUUUAGAACGUCGUGAGACAGUUCGGUCCCUAUCUGCCGUGGGCGCUGGAGAAUUGAGGGGGGCUGCUCCUAGUACGAGAGGACCGGAGUGGACGCAUCACUGGUGUUCGGGUUGUCAUGCCAAUGGCACUGCCCGGUAGCUAAAUGCGGAAGAGAUAAGUGCUGAAAGCAUCUAAGCACGAAACUUGCCCCGAGAUGAGUUCUCCCUGAGACUUAAAGUCUCCUGAAGGAACGUU